This 30-nucleotide non-coding RNA is filed under the name Mus musculus (house mouse). Lineage: Eukaryota; Metazoa; Chordata; Mammalia; Rodentia; Muridae. The record is from RNAcentral.
UGGGUUCUUUUAAUAGUUUUCUAAUGACCC